AUCCGUAACAGCAAGAUUUCUUGGCGGUGAUGGACGAUCUGGAAAGGAACCCAGAGAGGAGAAUGAGAAGACAAUUCUUAGACACUGGACUUCGUUUUGAGCUAAGAAAGCAGGUCCCUUACCAUAUACUUCCACAUGAACAUUUCGGAACGCUGAGCCCAGGCGAUUGGAAGCAGUAAUGGUAAAUUACUUACAGAUUGGAUCACGUGCUGUUUUGGGAUCUGAAGGGGGACUGAACUUUCCAGGUCCAGCUGCAUUUUCGGCACAUACUCUGAAGACAUAGCCUCUCUGCGUUCCAGGACAUAAUGAAGGAUUGGGCUUCCACCAUCGUAUUCUGGAGGUUCCCAUGUUAAUUUACAGGAACUCUUGGUCACAUCACUUGCUUUAAUAUCUUUGCAUGGUCCAGGAAAGAAAUCAUCUGGAAGUAGCCAACUCAUGAAACCCUUUAUACUAACAGUGCAAAGUUAACUAAUUUUCCUAACACAUGAAGAAGAAAAUCUGGUAUUUCAUCAAAGAAUGAUUACCUAUGACUUUGACAUUGAUUGAGCCAGUUGCUGAGCCAAGCUUGUUUUCCAGCGUAAUGGUAUAAACUCCAGCAUCUGCAUGGACACUCUUGGGAACUUCAAGGUGUGCAGAGAUGUGAUCAUUCUUCAUUGUUAAUCUGUCACUUGCUUUGACUUCUUUGCCAUCUUUAUGCCAACUAAUGGUUGGAACCGGGACAGCUCUGAAGGGAACAGGAAUGCUUAACUUUUCACCUUCAAUAACCACAAUGUCGUGAGUCUCCAUAUCAAUUGUUGGCUUGCCUGUAAGAUAGCCAAAAGAGGAGAAAAAGAUAUGUCAAAGUGCAAUGUGUAAGCAAAGCCUGUUUUAUUAAUUAUAAAGGAAACUCUAUUCUUACAGUCUGGGUCUUUGGCAACCACAUUUUCGGAGAUUUCAGAUGGCUCACUGACACCAACAGCAUUGACGGCUCUCACUCUCAGAACGUACUCCUUGUCAGGAACAACACCUUCGUCAACUUUGAAUUUCAGGUCUUUUAUUGGGCGAGAAUUAACUCGCAUCCAUUUCUCAGUGCCUACCGGACACAUUUCAACAUGGUAUCCUAUAAUCGGACUUCCACCAUUUUUCUCUGGAGGCUUCCAGGCAAUGGCAAUGUGCUUUCGCCCAGCGUCAGUCACAUGCAAGUCAAGUGGAGGUGAAGGAGGACCUGAAAGAAGAGUGAAAAAUUCACAUCUGUGAUCUCAUCAUCAAGCUCUAGACAGUAUCCUUCGGAUAACUGAUACUACUUACUUUUUGGAUCUUCAAUUGCCAGGAUUUCUGUGGGUUCACUUGGGUGACCAACUCCAGCUUCAUUUUCUGCCCGAACUUGAAACUGGACCUCUGUUCCUUCAAUGACAUCAGUUACUCUGAAGUUACAGUCAGGUCCUGAGGUUUUUCCAGCUUUCACCCAACGGGUCCCUAACUUUUCUUUCUUCUCAAUGAUGUAUCUAUUGAAAUAAAGCAUUUCAUUAGCAUUAA
Molecule: long non-coding RNA, 1515 nt
Organism: Callorhinus ursinus (northern fur seal)
Lineage: Eukaryota; Metazoa; Chordata; Mammalia; Carnivora; Otariidae
Source: RefSeq, a predicted model, not a curated record